Molecule: unclassified non-coding RNA, 284 nt
Filed under: Hevea brasiliensis (rubber tree)
Lineage: Eukaryota; Viridiplantae; Streptophyta; Magnoliopsida; Malpighiales; Euphorbiaceae
Source: RNAcentral
UUUCACCAGGAUAUUAUCCAAGUACAAAAUUUAAAUCCAUGAGUUUUUAUCAAGGAUUUAAGAAUCUCUGGGGUCCUAAUCACCAGAGUGUAGAUAACAAUGGCAUUAAUAUUUGGCUUGAUAGAAAUUCAGGCAGUGGAUUCAAGUCGGUUAAACCGUUUCGAUCCGGGUAUUUUGGGGCUUCUAUUAAACUCCAACCCGGUUAUACGGCCGGAGUCAUCACCGCUUUCUACCUUUCAAAUAAUGAAGCACAUCCAGGGUUCCAUGAUGAAGUGGACAUAGAA